GGUCAAGCGAACAAGUGCAUGUGGUGGAUGCCUUGGCGAUCACAGGCGAUGAAGGACGCGGUAGCCUGCGAAAAGCUUCGGGGAGCUGGCAAACAAGCUUUGAUCCGGAGAUGUCCGAAUGGGGAAACCCGGCCCGAAUGGGUCAUCCCUGACUGAAUACAUAGGUCAGGGAAGCGAACGCGGCGAACUGAAACAUCUAAGUAGCUGCAGGAACAGAAAUCAACCGAGAUUCCCAGAGUAGUGGCGAACGAAAUGGGAAGAGCCUUGUACUCUUUAGCAGCAUUGUUAGCAGAACGGGAUGGAAAGCCCGGCCAUAGCAGGUGAUAGCCCUGUAUGCGAAAACAGCGUUGUGGAACUAGGUGUACGACAAGUAGGGCGGGACACGUGAAAUCCUGUCUGAAGAUGGGGGGACCAUCCUCCAAGGCUAAAUACUCGUGAUCGACCGAUAGUGAACCAGUACCGUGAGGGAAAGGCGAAAAGAACCCCGGGAGGGGAGUGAAAUAGAUCCUGAAACCGCAUGCAUACAAACAGUCGGAGCCUGGAAACGGGUGACGGCGUACCUUUUGUAUAAUGGGUCAGCGACUUACAUUCAGUGGCAAGCUUAACCGAUUAGGGAAGGCGUAGCGAAAGCGAGUCCGAAUAGGGCGUUCAGUCGCUGGGUGUAGACCCGAAACCAGACGAUCUAUCCAUGGCCAGGUUGAAGGUGCGGUAACACGUACUGGAGGACCGAACCCACUAACGUUGAAAAGUUAGGGGAUGAGCUGUGGAUAGGGGUGAAAGGCUAAACAAGUCUGGAAAUAGCUGGUUCUCUCCGAAAACUAUUUAGGUAGUGCCUCGUGUCUCACCUUCGGGGGUAGAGCACUGUCAUGGUUGGGGGGUCUAUUGCUGAUUACCCCGCCAUAGCAAACUCCGAAUACCGAAGAGUGCAAUCACGGGAGACAGACAUCGGGUGCUAACGUCCGGUGUCAAGAGGGAAACAACCCAGACCGCCAGCUAAGGUCCCUAAGAUUGGCUAAGUGGGAAACGAAGUGGGAAGGCUAAAACAGUCAGGAGGUUGGCUUAGAAGCAGCCAUCCUUUAAAGAAAGCGUAAUAGCUCACUGAUCGAGUCGUCCUGCGCGGAAGAUGUAACGGGGCUAAGCCAGUCACCGAAGCUGCGGAUGCACGUAAGUGCAUGGUAGGAGAGCGUUCUGUAAGCCUGUGAAGGUGUCUUGUAAAGGAUGCUGGAGGUAUCAGAAGUGCGAAUGCUGACAUGAGUAGCGAUAAAGGGGGUGAAAAGCCCCCUCGCCGUAAGCCCAAGGUUUCCUACGCAACGUUCAUCGGCGUAGGGUGAGUCGGCCCCUAAGGCGAGGCAGAGAUGCGUAGCUGAUGGGAAGCAGGUUAAUAUUCCUGCACCGUCGUAUGAUGCGAUGGGGGGACGGAUCGCGGAAGGUUGUCCGGGUGUUGGAAGUCCCGGUCCCUGCAUUGGAGAAGGCGCUUAGGCAAAUCCGGGCGCGGAAUUCAAGGAUGUGGGGCGAGCGGCCUAGUGCUGCGAAGCAAUUGGAAGUGGUUCCAAGAAAAGCCUCUAAGCUUCAGUCAUACGAGACCGUACCGCAAACCGACACAGGUGGGCGAGAUGAGUAUUCUAAGGCGCUUGAGAGAACUCGGGAGAAGGAACUCGGCAAAUUGGUACCGUAACUUCGGGAUAAGGUACGCCCUUGUAGCUUGACUGGCCUGCGCCAGGAGGGUGAAGGGGUUGCAAUAAAAUGGUGGCUGCGACUGUUUAAUAAAAACACAGCACUCUGCAAACACGAAAGUGGACGUAUAGGGUGUGACGCCUGCCCGGUGCCGGAAGAUUAAAUGAUGGGGUGCAAGCUCUUGAUUGAAGUCCCGGUAAACGGCGGCCGUAACUAUAACGGUCCUAAGGUAGCGAAAUUCCUUGUCGGGUAAGUUCCGACCUGCACGAAUGGCGUAACGAUGGCCACACUGUCUCCUCCCGAGACUCAGCGAAGUUGAAGUGUUUGUGAUGAUGCAAUCUCCCCGCGGCUAGACGGAAAGACCCCAUGAACCUUUACUGUAGCUUUGCAUUGGACUUUGAACCGAUCUGUGUAGGAUAGGUGGGAGGCUUUGAAGCGUGGACGCUAGUCUGCGUGGAGCCGUCCUUGAAAUACCACCCUGGUUUGUUUGAGGUUCUAACCUUGGCCCGUGAAUCCGGGUCGGGGACAGUGCAUGGUAGGCAGUUUGACUGGGGCGGUCUCCUCCCAAAGUGUAACGGAGGAGUUCGAAGGUACGCUUGGUACGGUCGGACAUCGUACCUAAAGUGCAAUGGCAAAAGCGUGCUUAACUGCGAGACCGACAAGUCGAGCAGGUGCGAAAGCAGGACAUAGUGAUCCGGUGGUUCUGAAUGGAAGGGCCAUCGCUCAACGGAUAAAAGGUACUCUGGGGAUAACAGGCUGAUACCGCCCAAGAGUUCAUAUCGACGGCGGUGUUUGGCACCUCGAUGUCGGCUCAUCUCAUCCUGGGGCUGUAGCCGGUCCCAAGGGUAUGGCUGUUCGCCAUUUAAAGAGGUACGUGAGCUGGGUUUAAAACGUCGUGAGACAGUUUGGUCCCUAUCUGCCGUGGGCGUUGGAAUCUUGACGGGGGCUGCUCCUAGUACGAGAGGACCGGAGUGGACGUACCGCUGGUGUACCUGUUGUCUCGCCAGAGGCAUCGCAGGGUAGCUAUGUACGGAAGAGAUAACCGCUGAAAGCAUCUAAGCGGGAAACUCGCCUGAAGAUGAGGAUUCCCUGGAGCCUUGAGCUCCUUGAAGGGUCGUUCGAGACCAGGACGUUGAUAGGCUGGGUGUGGAAGCGCAGUAAUGCGUUAAGCUAACCAGUACUAAUUGCCCGUAAGGCUUGAUCCU
RNAcentral lists this ribosomal RNA (2879 nucleotides) under Cupriavidus basilensis. Its description in RNAcentral is "23S ribosomal RNA". It matches the Rfam family "Bacterial large subunit ribosomal RNA". The record is from RNAcentral. Lineage: Bacteria; Pseudomonadati; Pseudomonadota; Betaproteobacteria; Burkholderiales; Burkholderiaceae.